Molecule: transfer RNA, 73 nt
Filed under: Metarhizium robertsii ARSEF 23
Lineage: Eukaryota; Fungi; Ascomycota; Sordariomycetes; Hypocreales; Clavicipitaceae
Also listed under: 2 other names
Description: tRNA-Ala (CGC) (tRNA-Ala-CGC-2-1)
Rfam family: tRNA
About the family: Transfer RNA (tRNA) molecules are approximately 80 nucleotides in length. Their secondary structure includes four short double-helical elements and three loops (D, anti-codon, and T loops). Further hydrogen bonds mediate the characteristic L-shaped molecular structure. tRNAs have two regions of fundamental functional importance: the anti-codon, which is responsible for specific mRNA codon recognition, and the 3' end, to which the tRNAs corresponding amino acid is attached (by aminoacyl-tRNA synthetases). tRNAs cope with the degeneracy of the genetic code in two manners: having more than one tRNA (with a specific anti-codon) for a particular amino acid; and 'wobble' base-pairing, i.e. permitting non-standard base-pairing at the 3rd anti-codon position.
Source: RNAcentral
GGCUGGGUAGCUCAAUGGUAGAGCGUCUGACUUCGCAAGUCAGAAGGUGUAGGUUCGAAUCCUGCCCCGGCUA